UAGAGUUGCAAAACUCCUAAACCCUUGUGAAUAUACCUGUUAUAGUUGCUUCGGUGGGCGGCCCCAGGGCGGGGCCGCAGCCUUCUUGUAAGGCGCCUGCCGGAGGUAUCAAACUCUAUAUUACAUGUCUCUCUGAGUAAUUUAUAAAAUAAGUCA
Molecule: unclassified non-coding RNA, 156 nt
Filed under: uncultured Sordariomycetes
Lineage: Eukaryota; Fungi; Ascomycota; Sordariomycetes
Description: sequence contains ITS1
Source: RNAcentral